RNAcentral lists this ribosomal RNA (128 nucleotides) under Saprolegnia longicaulis. Its description in RNAcentral is "partial 28S ribosomal RNA". It matches the Rfam family "Eukaryotic large subunit ribosomal RNA", at positions 1 to 126 of the family's 3401-position model. Lineage: Eukaryota; Oomycota; Saprolegniomycetes; Saprolegniales; Saprolegniaceae. The record is from RNAcentral.
UUGGACCUGAUAUCAAACAAGACUACCCGCUGAACUUAAGCAUAUCAUUAAGCGGAGGAAAAGAAACUAACAAGGAUUCCCCCAGUAACGGCGAGUGAAGCGGGAAGAGCUCUAGCUUAAAGUAUCCA